GACGAACGCUGGCGGCGUGCUUAACACAUGCAAGUCGAGCGGGGAUAUUGAGGAAGCUUGCUUCUGAGAUAUUCUAGCGGCGGACGGGUGAGUAACGCGUGAGCAACCUUUCUCUCAGUGGGGAAUAACACAGGGAAACUUGUACUAAUACCGCAUGGGACCACGACCUGGCAUCUGGUUGGGGUGAAAGAUUUAUCGGUGUAGGGUGAGCUCGCGUCCCAUUAGCUAGUUGGUGAGGUAACGGCCCACCAAGGCGACGAUCAGUAGCCGAACUGAGAGGUUGAUCGGCCACAUUGGGACUGAGACACGGCCCAGACUCCUACGGGAGGCAGCAGUCGGGAAUAUUGCACAAUGGGGGAAACCCUGAUGCAGCGACGCCGCGUAAAGGAAGAAGGUCUUCGGAUUGUAAACUUUUGUCGACAGGGAAGAAGAAAGUGACAGUACCUGUGGAGGAAGCCCCGGCUAACUACGUG
Molecule: ribosomal RNA, 473 nt
Filed under: uncultured bacterium
Lineage: Bacteria
Description: bacterial SSU rRNA
Rfam family: Bacterial small subunit ribosomal RNA
Source: RNAcentral